Oncorhynchus tshawytscha (Chinook salmon) is the source of this 1913-nucleotide long non-coding RNA. The record is from Ensembl. NCBI's taxonomy places the organism in Eukaryota, Metazoa, Chordata, Actinopteri, Salmoniformes, Salmonidae.
UAUGUUUCUCUCUGCGGCACUGUGGUGUGGUAGGUAGAGGUAGAUUAUGUCUCUCUGCGGCACUGUGGUGUGGUAGGUAGAUUAUGUCUCUCUCUGCAGCACUGUGGUGUGGUAGGUAGAUUAUGUUUCUCUCUGCAGCACUGUGGUGUGGUAGGUAGAGGUAGAUUAUGUCUCUCUGCGGCACUGUGGUGUGGUAGGUAGAUUAUGUCUCUCUGCGGCACUGUGGUGUGGUAGGUAGAGGUAGAUUAUGUCUCUCUGCGGCACUGUGGUGUGGUAGGUAGAGGUAGAUUAUGUCUCUCUGCGGCACUGUGGUGUGGUAGGUAGAGGUAGAUUAUGUCUCUCUGCGGCACUGUGGUGUGGUAGGUAGAGGUAGAUUAUGUCUCUCUGCGGCACUGUGGUGUGGUAGGUAGAGGUAGAUUAUGUCUCUCUCUGCGGCACUGUGGUGUGGUAGGUAGAUUAUGUUUCUCUCUGCGGCACUGUGGUGUGGUAGGUAGAAUUUUGCUCUCUGGUUUAAUUGGUCAAGUAAAAGUAGUGCUUACAGAAUAAGGUGGAUAUUUUGUUUUUAAAUAGCUGGUAUCUAUUCAUGUUUAUUAGACAUUUCAAUCUUAUUACAAGUUACAUUGUUUUUGUUUUAUAUAUUUGUUUUCUGCAAUAACAACAUCCGUUGUAGCUGCAUUUACUGCUGGUCCAGUUAGACUCCAUGUUAAUAUGUAGUAUUCUUCAGUUCUCUCUGGUAGCAACCAGCUAGCGACACAGAGGACAGCCUCCGGACAGGCCUUCUGUACUCUUCUAUAUGAUCAGUUUAGAUUCUAAUCUAUAACAAUAAUAUGUUUUCUGUAACGUUACCGUAAUCGUUCUAUAGCGUUAUUGAUAAUCCCUGGAUGCUACUGCGUUUUUUGUUCUGCAUGACUGAAAAUGGAAUUAACGCAACAAACCAGCCGGCGAGAUCGACCCAGAGUCGACCUUUUAUCAGAACCUUCUUUUUCUUUCUGUCCACUAGUUUUUUUUUAAAUGUUGUGUUUUUCAUGUCGUUGUUGUUUCUACUUCUCUGAUGAACAACUGUGGGUGUGUAGCGGAAUGCAUCUUAUGAGCACAAGAUGUUGAAAAUAAGUCUUUCAAACUAUUUUGCUCACUGGGUAGAUAGGCAGCUGCAGCUUGUGAAACGAACUUGUUUUACUAACUCCUGUACCAAGGCAGCAGACAUUCCUUCCUAUAGGGAACCUAGGACAGGUGUUGCAUUCAUAUCAGUAUUAGUAUAGCUACUAACUUAGUAACAGAAAGGUGGUGAUUUAGUGUUGCAACAUUCCGGAAACAUUCCCUGAAAAUUCCUUGAUUUUUUUCCGGAAAAUCCUGGUUGGAAAAUCCACAAAUCUUCCAAACAACCAGAAUUGAUAGAAAACCUGAGAAUUUUGGGGGAUGUAACCGUAAGGUGCAAAUCUAGUGGUGAAGGUGACAGAACAUGGUUAAAGCUUAAGGGUUGAUGAAGCACUGUCUAUACAGCUCUUAUAUGCCCUUACAUUCCAUCAUCCCAAGUCAAAUCUAUAGUUCCUGUAACUACACCAAGGCUACACGUCCUACAUGGAACCCUAUUCCCAAUGUAAAGCUUCACACUUUGUCUGGCCACAUUUAGUGCAUAACGAUUAGGGAUGUCAUUAGGGACGGAGCCUAAACCAUAUUCUCUCAGAGACCGGAUCCAGCUGAACCUAAACCAUAUUCUCUCUGAGACCGGAUCCAGCUGAACCUAAACCAUAUUCUCUCAGAGACUGGAUCCAGCUGAACCUAAACCAUAUUCUCUCAGAGACCGGAUCCAGCUGAACCUAAACCAUAUUCUCUCAGAGACCGGAUCCAGCUGAACCUAAACCAUAUUCUCUCAGAGACUGGAUCCAGCUGAACCUAAACCAUAUUCUCUCAGA